CACCAACGACAUCACUUGCAAUCGAGAU
This 28-nucleotide small RNA is filed under the name Bombyx mori (domestic silkworm). RNAcentral's name for it is "ovarian small RNA-4657". The record is from RNAcentral. Lineage: Eukaryota; Metazoa; Arthropoda; Insecta; Lepidoptera; Bombycidae.